UCUGGUAUUCAUCAGACAGGAGCAACAGCUCAGCCACUUUCAACUCCACUGAGAGGGUCCUGCAGAGCCUGCUGGAUCCUUGUUGAAGAAGAGCAGCCUGGGCCCCUUCUCCUUGAGUGGCAGACUGGUCUCCCUCAGGUCUGAGAAGGAUGGGGCAGCCACCAGUGUGGACGCUGUCUUCACCCACCACCCUGACCCCGUGGUCCACCAUGCCUCUGUGCUGGGAGCUGAGAGUCUCCACCUGUCUGCUCUUCCUCUCAGUGGCUCCAGGCUCUGCACCCUGGAGU
This is a long non-coding RNA of Diceros bicornis minor, 287 nucleotides long. RefSeq lists it as uncharacterized. The transcript has 3 exons. NCBI's taxonomy places the organism in Eukaryota, Metazoa, Chordata, Mammalia, Perissodactyla, Rhinocerotidae. The record is from RefSeq and is a predicted model, not a curated record.